Molecule: ribosomal RNA, 253 nt
Filed under: uncultured bacterium
Lineage: Bacteria
Description: partial 16S ribosomal RNA
Rfam family: Bacterial small subunit ribosomal RNA
Source: RNAcentral
UACGGGGGGGGCAAGCGUUGUUCGGAAUUACUGGGCGUAAAGGGCUCGUAGGCGGCCAACUAAGUCGGACGUGAAAUCCCCAGGCUCAACCUGGGAACUGCGUCCGAUACUGGAUGGCUUGAAUCCGGGAGAGGGAUGCAGAAUUCCAGGUGUAGCGGUGAAAUGCGUAGAUAUCUGGAGGAAUACCGGUGGCGAAGGCGGCAUCCUGGACCGGCAUUGACGCUGAGGAGCGAAGGUCAGGGGAGCAAACGGG